CAAAUAAGUGUUUAUCUCUGCAGUUUUCUCCAGCUGUGUGGUUGUUUUUUUUUCUUUUUUCCUUUUUUUUUUGC
Molecule: non-coding RNA, 74 nt
Filed under: Chattonella subsalsa
Lineage: Eukaryota; Raphidophyceae; Chattonellales; Chattonellaceae
Source: RNAcentral